RNAcentral lists this ribosomal RNA (1373 nucleotides) under Curtobacterium sp. RNAcentral describes it as "bacterial SSU rRNA". It matches the Rfam family "Bacterial small subunit ribosomal RNA". Lineage: Bacteria; Bacillati; Actinomycetota; Actinomycetes; Micrococcales; Microbacteriaceae. The record is from RNAcentral.
UGCAGUCGAACGAUGAUGCCCAGCUUGCUGGGUGGAUUAGUGGCGAACGGGUGAGUAACACGUGAGUAACCUGCCCCUGACUCUGGGAUAAGCGUUGGAAACGACGUCUAAUACUGGAUAUGACUGCCGGCCGCAUGGUCUGGUGGUGGAAAGAUUUUUUGGUUGGGGAUGGACUCGCGGCCUAUCAGCUUGUUGGUGAGGUAAUGGCUCACCAAGGCGACGACGGGUAGCCGGCCUGAGAGGGUGACCGGCCACACUGGGACUGAGACACGGCCCAGACUCCUACGGGAGGCAGCAGUGGGGAAUAUUGCACAAUGGGCGAAAGCCUGAUGCAGCAACGCCGCGUGAGGGAUGACGGCCUUCGGGUUGUAAACCUCUUUUAGUAGGGAAGAAGCGAAAGUGACGGUACCUGCAGAAAAAGCACCGGCUAACUACGUGCCAGCAGCCGCGGUAAUACGUAGGGUGCAAGCGUUGUCCGGAAUUAUUGGGCGUAAAGAGCUCGUAGGCGGUUUGUCGCGUCUGCUGUGAAAUCCCGAGGCUCAACCUCGGGCUUGCAGUGGGUACGGGCAGACUAGAGUGCGGUAGGGGAGAUUGGAAUUCCUGGUGUAGCGGUGGAAUGCGCAGAUAUCAGGAGGAACACCGAUGGCGAAGGCAGAUCUCUGGGCCGUAACUGACGCUGAGGAGCGAAAGCAUGGGGAGCGAACAGGAUUAGAUACCCUGGUAGUCCAUGCCGUAAACGUUGGGCGCUAGAUGUAGGGACCUUUCCACGGUUUCUGUGUCGUAGCUAACGCAUUAAGCGCCCCGCCUGGGGAGUACGGCCGCAAGGCUAAAACUCAAAGGAAUUGACGGGGGCCCGCACAAGCGGCGGAGCAUGCGGAUUAAUUCGAUGCAACGCGAAGAACCUUACCAAGGCUUGACAUACACCGGAAACGGCCAGAGAUGGUCGCCCCCUUGUGGUCGGUGUACAGGUGGUGCAUGGUUGUCGUCAGCUCGUGUCGUGAGAUGUUGGGUUAAGUCCCGCAACGAGCGCAACCCUCGUUCUAUGUUGCCAGCGCGUUAUGGCGGGGACUCAUAGGAGACUGCCGGGGUCAACUCGGAGGAAGGUGGGGAUGACGUCAAAUCAUCAUGCCCCUUAUGUCUUGGGCUUCACGCAUGCUACAAUGGCCGGUACAAAGGGCUGCGAUACCGUAAGGUGGAGCGAAUCCCAAAAAGCCGGUCUCAGUUCGGAUUGAGGUCUGCAACUCGACCUCAUGAAGUCGGAGUCGCUAGUAAUCGCAGAUCAGCAACGCUGCGGUGAAUACGUUCCCGGGCCUUGUACACACCGCCCGUCAAGUCAUGAAAGUCGGUAACACCCGAAGCCGGUGGCCUAACCC